This 416-nucleotide long non-coding RNA is filed under the name Heterocephalus glaber (naked mole-rat). RNAcentral describes it as "lncRNA (ENSHGLG00000038365.1)". Lineage: Eukaryota; Metazoa; Chordata; Mammalia; Rodentia; Bathyergidae. The record is from RNAcentral.
GGGGAAGGCAGCCCUGUCCUCCCUGCCAGGCCUCCAGGAAGGCUGUGGGCGCGGUGGCCCUGGGCUGGGUCAGGGAUCUGCAGAGAGUCACCCGGGCCGUCCCGGGGCGGGCGGCCACACAAUGGCAGGAAGCCAGGCCUCCGCUUGGUCUGGGGCACAGACCGCGGCUUCCUCCAGCGAAAUGGGGACUGGGCCCGGCGUCUCUGCCCGCCCAGCAGCCUCCGGGCUGGGCCCUAGGCCACUCUCCCUGGACCCGGAGCCCUUCGGGGCUCAGGGCAGCAGAGACCAGGAUUUGCUCGGAUCCAGGGCCCGGCCUUCCUGAUGCCCUGAUGUCCCCGGCCUAGGCUGCAUCAGCAAUAGAGGCGGCUGAAGCCAGGGUGGUGUCCAGCAGCGGCAGCACGGGGCUGGGAGAUGAG